This is a non-coding RNA of Caenorhabditis elegans, 176 nucleotides long. The record is from Ensembl. NCBI's taxonomy places the organism in Eukaryota, Metazoa, Nematoda, Chromadorea, Rhabditida, Rhabditidae.
UUGUCACAAAUUGCCCGUAAAAUGUAUGCUAUAACAGAAAGAAACAUAGAGUUCGUUUGAAGUGGAUCGCAUUUAACGCCACUUUUUGGCGGCAGAGUAAAUAUUUGAAAGAAUUCGGGGAAAAGUAAGGGCAGAACAAAUGAAGUAGACAUGAGGAAGGUGAGAGACUGUUUUUU